CCUACGUGAGGCAGCAGUGGGGGAUAUUGCACAAUGGGCGAAAGCCUGAUGCAGCGACGCCGCGUGAGGGAAGACGGUCUUCGGAUUUUAAACCUCUUUCUUUGGGGAAGAAAAUGACGGUACCCCAAGAGGAAGCUCCGGCUAACUACGUGCCAGCAGCCGCGGUAAUACGGAGGAUGCGAGCGUUAUCCGGAUUUAUUGGGUGUAAAGGGUGCGUAGGCGGGAUGCCAAGUCAGCGGUAAAAAUUCGGGGCUCAACGCCGUCGAGCCGUUGAAACUGGCGGUCUUGAGUGGGCGAGAAGUAUGCGGAAUGCGUGGUGUAGCGGUGAAAUGCAUAGAUAUCACGCAGAACUCCGAUUGCGAAGGCAGCAUACCGGCGCCCUACUGACGCUGAGGCACGAAAGCGUGGGUAUCGAACAGGAUUAGAUACCCCUGUAGUC
Molecule: ribosomal RNA, 439 nt
Filed under: uncultured bacterium
Lineage: Bacteria
Description: partial 16S ribosomal RNA
Rfam family: Bacterial small subunit ribosomal RNA
Source: RNAcentral